CAGGUUUGUGCGUGAAUCUAA
RNAcentral lists this microRNA (21 nucleotides) under Corchorus capsularis. RNAcentral describes it as "sRNA CCACVL1_22107". Lineage: Eukaryota; Viridiplantae; Streptophyta; Magnoliopsida; Malvales; Malvaceae. The record is from RNAcentral.